GAACCAUUUUGGAAAAACUCAGGCUGCACCUGCACACAGAUAAGCAAUUUGUAUAAUUAGUGAAAUCCUAGGGAAAAAAAAAAGGUAUCUCCCUUUCAGGCAUAUAUGUGGUGGAAAUAUGCACAGGGCUGAGGAUGGCUUAUCAAAAACAACCCACUUUAUACAAGGAAAAUAAGUGGCACUGUGUGCUUGCCUGGAGGCAUACCCACAGCUACAUAAGAUAAGGGGAGUUGCACACACAGGUUUACUGAUAAGAGAAGUUACUCAAACUGCUACAGACAUGAGAGGAGUUUCUUAUAAAAGCUUUCGAAUUCAGAUGUAACCCAGCAAUGCACUCAGACUCCUCUCUGCUGUGGAGAGCUUUUUUUUUUUUUUUUCAUAUUAAACUUUCACUCCAACUUUAUCUUUGUGUUUACAAUUCUUAAUUUUUUUGUCUUGGAUAAAGAACAAAAAACCUGGAGUACUUCUUCAGACAACAAGAAACUUCCAAAUUAAGGUGCAUUGGCAAGAAUGCAACAUAUUUUGAUCCAUUGGCUUGGAAGGAGGGAAUUCAUCAGAAGGGAAUCAAACUUGACUUACAAAGCAAAAAGGCCCUUGGAAAACUCACUGCAUAUUUUGUGUACACAGUCCCUGUACAUGGUUUCUGAUCUGUGGUAAGUAAAAAAAUUACUUUCUAGCAGGCUGGGAAGCCCAAGUUAUCUUGGUCCCUCAAGAGAAGAGAAAUUCUCCAACUAAUAGGUAUUGGACAGUAAAAAUCCAUGGCUGGGCUUCGCUUUAAAAAGGUCUUAUCUCAGAUUCCUUCUUUGAAACAAAGUGCCAUAUAAACCAAUUUAAUAGGCAGAUGUAACAAAUAAUUAUUCUUGCUGCACUGUAUGCAAAUAACUGUCAAGUAUAGUAAAGCAAACCAGUCCUAUUAUAAUUUGUCUUUUAAUAAAAAUGGGAAACUGGAGAGACAAAAUUAUGUUUCAAAAAUGAUAGCACAUGGAUUGUUGAAUUCUAGUGUUUCCUAAUGUUUUUCUAUUUUUAUUAUUUUCCACUGCUUAAAUUAAACUCUAAUUUUUCUGGAUAUAAGUUUCCAUAUUAAGCUGUGAUUUCUUAAAGCCCUACAAACUGAAAAGUAAGUGUUUCAUCAAGUACUGCCUCUAACACAGGGCCACCACAGGAAUAAAUGUCUUCACUGCUGGUGCUGACAACUAAUAACUGAGGGUGCUGAGAAAACUUUCCCCCAAAGUCUAGUGAGUCCAUGAAAUGCAGGGUGAUUAAGAUGAUAUCUGAUACAGGAGUCAAUUCCUAAAUACAUCACUCAAGUCAAAGCCUAGAAAUCUAAGAAAGCAACCCAAACAGCCCAAAGAAACACCCUAAAUAUCAAUGUAAAAAAAUAGAAAAUAUUAAGCUGAAAAUCAUAAAAGAUAGGUGACUAAGUGAAAACUACUCAUUUUAUUCAGCCUCACACACCUCACCAAAUACUUUUGGUGUGUCUACCUCUUUUUUUAAGCCAAAUAUUAAAACAUUUUAAUGGAAAUUAUUUACUUUGCCACCCUUGUGGGAACUGCCUUACUCACUGCUAUUUGCAGUAGAACAAUAUGCUAUAGCAUCCUCAGGGUGGAAUAUCAGACAAAAAAAUCUCAAUUAUUAUAGCAUUUUCCCUAAUUAUUAUCCAGAUAGCAGGAAUAAUAGUUACUAAAAGAAAGUAACACAUGAGUUCUUCCAAACACAUGCUUCUGCCUCUCAUCAGGUAACAAAUGUUUCUAUAGCAACGAAUAGGGCUUAGUAAAAAACACUGCUAAAAACUUAAAGAAAAGGCUAAAAAGCUAAGGGAAUAUCAAAACAACCGAAUAGAUUCUUGGUUUGGAUUCAAAAUCAUAGGAUGAGUCAUCCCAUUCCUGGGACCUCUUCUAAUAAUAUACCUGGAACUAAUGUUCUUACCUUGCCUAAUUAACUUUUUUCAAAGAUUUUUAACUGAAAAUAUCAUGGCCAUUUUACAGACAACUACCCCAAAAUAUCUACAAAUGACAUUGCUCCUACAGUAAACCCAAGACCAGAAAACUCUCCAUCCCCUUGUCAGCAGGAAGUAGCCUGCAGUCCCUCCUCCUUUUUAUAACCAUAGGAUCUGGAUUGACAGAGCAGGACCACCACCUUGUUGGAACAACCCCUCAUUCUAAAGCUGACCUCAAUAAAAAACUGCUUAAAUCCAAAGGGUGUCAGCCUAAUGGCUAAGGUCAGCAUGACCAUAAACCACAGAUAACUUCUCUAACCAGAAACAUUCCAAACUCCUCCCCAACCAGAGAUAGGGUAGUCCUGAGAUAAACUCUGCUCUGGCUGGGAAAAUGCUAGCCCUGAGAUAACCCCCUUCUUGGUCAGAAAGAUGUCUGCCCCAAGAUAACCUUACCUCCUGCCAGAGAGAUUCCAACUCCGCUAUAAACUUCUCCACACACAUAAACAUUCCAAGCUUGUGAUAAGCCCCCUCAACCUAAAAGUGAUAUAUACUCAGCUUUUAAGAGAAAGUACUCCUGACUGAAAUUGGCCAGAAGCACCUCUCAGGUUUCCUCUAAAGAAAACCUGUCUUUACCUGCCAGCCGCAUUUCUUGUUUCUUUCCUCUUUAACUCCUACAGAAAUAAAAGCACAACAAGGUUUUCUUAAGAUUUCAAUGUGCUUUUUAGAAAAUCUUGUGAAGAGUUAUAAAAGGUACAUGAAAAUCUCACAUCAUGAUCAAACUGGUUAAAAUUGAAUAGGAUUACCUAUAAGCUUUCAUUAAAAAUUGGGGUUAACCAUUAAUAGUAAAAUAAUGCAAGGGUGAAAUUUAACUUGCUUGAACAGGGUUUUCAUGUAAUAGUAAAGACUGAUGAAUGGUUUUUGGCUUUUCAAAUUUUGACUCAUCAUUUUGGCAAGACAAAUAACUAUGUUAAUCUAAAAUUGUAUUUCAUAACAUCAAGUGUUUUAAAUUUCAAAUAUAUUUAACAGGCUUACCAAAAUCAAACUACAGUCUCAAGGUUGUCUUUCAUGACCUAGGGGUUUGGGUGCUACCGAGGACCCCUGGAGCAUCCAGAAGAGAGUUAAACAGGAUUAUUUAACAUGUUUGCAUACAUGAUGUCAGGCCUCUGAGCCCAAGCUAAGCCAUUAUAUUCCCUGUGACAUGAACGUAUACAUCCAGAUGGCUGAAAACAACUGAAGAUCCACAAAAGAAGUGAAAAUAGCCUUAACUGAUGACAUUCCAUGAUUGUGAAGUUUCUACCCCACCCUAACCGAUCAAUGUACUUUGUAAUCUCCCCCACCAUUAAGAAGGUUCUUUGUAAUUCUCCCGACCCCUGAGAAUAUACUUUGUGAGAUCCACCCACUGCCCACAAAACAUUUCUCCUAACUCCACCGUCUAUCCCAAAAGCUAUAAGAACUAAUGAUAAUUCCACCACCCUUUGCUGACUCUCUUUUUGGACUCAGCUCACCUGCACCCUGGUGAAAUAAACAGCCUGUUGCUCACACAAAGCUUGUUUGGUGACCUCUUCACAUGGAUGUAUGAGACACAUGCAAUUGCCAAAAUGAUAUUUAAUAUUUUCCAGGUUAUAUUUUGGGCAAUAAUAUUAACAUAUAUUUCAAAAUCAUAUAGGAUUUCUAAGGUUCUAGUAUCUGAACAUGUGCUAUUAAUCACAAUUAAGUGUGUUAAGUUGGUUUAUGGUGAACCAUAAAAAUAACCAAAUUUGUCCAACAUGUUCUUGACUGUAACUACCCUGGAAAUUUUGUCAUUUACUGACAAUUUUUGUCUUGUUUCAAUCUUCUUCUUCUUAAAAAAAAAUAGAUUAUAAUCAGCUGUAGAACUUUAACAGGGAUUCUUUCAAAUGCUGGUUUCUAAUAACAGAAAAACUUACAGGACACAUGAAAAGUAGAAACUGAACUAGUAGAAAACUAAAGCAAUAUUCUUGACUUAUGCUUGGAACAUUGCUGAUUCUUAUUUUGUUUUUCAGAGUCAAGGACACUUGUCUUGAGCUAGCUACACCCUUUCACAACUCAGUAAGGAGUGAAGACUGAUUUUGCAGAGCCAAUAAAGGCCCCUGGGGAAACUGGCCUCAUAUCUUGUCAUGAAGAUUUUAUACAGGUUUCCUAACCUGUGUGCUCACUGCUGCAAAGAAGAACAAGCACACAGGCAAAAAGUUUUCCCAGCAAGAAUGCCAGGGUGAAAGGAAAGAUCAAUUGGACCAGAGCACAAGUGCUGCUCCAGUUACUUGGCAGAGUACCUAAUAGUGAUCCACCACAAUACCACCAUAUAUCUGUUUGGGAAUAAACAAGGGCAAGUUGACUGCUUAAGAGUGAUGACAUGCAACUCAGUCUCUUGCAACACCACCUGAGAAAAGGAAGCACUAGCAGGAAGAACAAAUUGAUGGAGAGGAAAAGUGAUGAAUACAGAUAAGAAGCACAGCUGGUGGAGGCUCAUGUGCCAGUUUACUGGGCCUCAGGACAUUCUCCUCUAGAAGGAGGAGACAGCAUGACCCCCACUUUCUUUUAUUUUAUUAUAAUUUAAGUUUUAGGGUACAUGAGCACAAUGUGCAGGUUAGUUACAUAUGUAUA
Molecule: long non-coding RNA, 4558 nt
Filed under: Homo sapiens (human)
Lineage: Eukaryota; Metazoa; Chordata; Mammalia; Primates; Hominidae
Description: HSALNT0409526
Source: RNAcentral